GAGAAGCUCGGAUAUUGAUGAAGUCUGAAAGAAGUUCGGAGUAGAGUCAUCCGUGGCUGGAAGAAGUCUGGAAGGGAUUCGGAGAAUAGUUGAUCACUGUAGAAAAUCGACUGAUGGCGGAGUUCAGAGGAUGUUUGGAGCAGUCCGGUAAAUGAAUGGAGAAGCUCAUUGUCAGAGAAGUUCGGAUGGUCAAGGGAGUUCAGAAAGACAUCACACA
This 217-nucleotide long non-coding RNA is filed under the name Elaeis guineensis (African oil palm). RNAcentral's name for it is "long non-coding RNA (EGUI_LNC035320)". Lineage: Eukaryota; Viridiplantae; Streptophyta; Magnoliopsida; Arecales; Arecaceae. The record is from RNAcentral.